UGCCCCAUGAGACACCCCAGGCCCCCAGAGAUGCCGUCUGUGCUACAGCUGCAGGGCAUCUGUGCCCACACAGGGAUGGACACAGGAGGUGCUCAGGUAGCACUAGUGAGUGUCCAGAGGGUCCCAGCCCUGGAGAAGUGCUCCUUGGAGGGACGCAGUGGCCAGGCAGCAGGGGCCGCACAAAGCCCCGGCCAGACAGUGGAGGCACAGGAGUGGCCUGGCCUCAGCUCAACCCAAGCUGAGCUCAGGCCCUUCCUGGCUAAGCCUGGGGAAUUCUUGGGGGGGGGGACCUUGGUGUCCCCUGGCCACAUAGUCACUGAGGCUGCCAUGUGGGGUAGGCACACCACCACAGGAAGCGCUGGCCCAGGGGCACCAGCAGUGGAAAUGCUGGAGCAAGGUGACAUGCUCGGCUGUAUGCUCAUGGACUUGCAGUGUGGCCCCUGGGCCCCCAGGCACGGCCAGGUGGCAUGACAGUGGCUGGGCUGUC
This 487-nucleotide long non-coding RNA is filed under the name Marmota monax (woodchuck). Lineage: Eukaryota; Metazoa; Chordata; Mammalia; Rodentia; Sciuridae. The record is from RNAcentral.